AAGGCUCUGAGUUGGCCACAACUGGAUUAAGUAUGUUUGCAGCUCCCAAUGUGAGCUGUUUGCAAAUCGCCCAAGAAUAAUGAAUGUCUCGGAGGACUCAGCAGGUCACUUGGGGAAGGCAUCUGAGACCCUCGGGACACUCCCAGGCACCGAUUCACUCUGCCUCAGGGAUUCCCAGGGUUGGGAGGGAUAAAGGGGCAAUUUUUUCUCAUCAUUAAAGGGCAGCCGGUUGCCUCUGGGGUGGAAUGCAGCAUCUGUUUAACAGGGUAUAGAGGGUGACAGAUUACAGCCGCUUGGGAAGAAGCAUCCCAUAUCUAAUUGAAAAUCCCAGGGGAACUUUAGGUGGGUCAUGAUAAUUACCCAAAUUGGCACAGGGCCAACAGGGUUUGAUUCUUCAGCUCUGGCUGUGGCAGGACAGCAUGUCUGUGCAAAACCAGUGGCUUAGAAACUCCAGGAAGUAGAUCAAGGGUUAGAAAGAUGUCAGUGGGCGUUUACCCUCCCUGCUGGCGAGCGUGCGUGGAAGGCAGCACCCAGGAGGGACCAGUUUGAUCUCUAAAAAGCCCUUAUCCUGACUCACCCUAAUUCACUGACUCAUCACUGUGACGGUGUUGAAGACCUGAAGCGGACACCUCACUUAUCUUCGAAAGCCCCCCCGUAAGCCGAUAAAUGCUCUUAGCUUUGCGUUGGAAGGUGGCCACAGCAAAGAGACACCUGUGCCCUGUUCUUGAGCUAGGGAGCCCAGACAUGGUCAUCCAAACAUCCUGCCAGCCCUUGACACAGCACCUGCCCUCCAGGGGCCACUCAAGAAGCAGCAGAAAGGUUAAAGCAACCCCUUGAUUAUCAAAUGCUGAAAAGCAGAAGGAAGGAGAGAAAGACACUCACGUUCCUACGGCCCAGAGAGAACCAAGGGAAAAAUAGAGAGGAGGACAUUCAUGAUGUGCUUGGCAAACGUAAACUUCACAAAAUCCAACCAGCAAAUGUGUGAAGGAGAAGGAGCCACCCGUUAUUUCUGAGAGGUCCAAGCUGAUUGUUUAUCACACA
This is a long non-coding RNA of Callorhinus ursinus (northern fur seal), 1041 nucleotides long. RefSeq lists it as uncharacterized. The record is from RefSeq and is a predicted model, not a curated record. Lineage: Eukaryota; Metazoa; Chordata; Mammalia; Carnivora; Otariidae.